GUAGGAGGCGUAGUCAUCUUAUGGUUAGCGCGUUGGACUCCGGAUUGAGCGGUCCGGGUUCAAGCCCUGGCCUGGCUCA
Molecule: non-coding RNA, 79 nt
Organism: Desmophyllum pertusum
Lineage: Eukaryota; Metazoa; Cnidaria; Anthozoa; Scleractinia; Caryophylliidae
Source: the annotation of a GenBank genome assembly